GCAGUAGCCGCGGUAAUACGAAGGGGGCUAGCGUUGCUCGGAAUGACUGGGCGUAAAGGGCGCGUAGGCGGUUUAUACAGUCAGAUGUGAAAUUCCUGGGCUCAACCUGGGGACUGCAUUUGAUACGUAUGGACUUGAGUGGAGAAGAGGGUUGUGGAAUUUCCAGUGUAGAGGUGAAAUUCGUAGAUAUUGAAAGGAACACCGGUGGCGAAGGCGGCAACCUGGUCUUUAACUGACGCUGAGGCGCGAAAGCGUGGGGAGCAAACAGGAUUAGAUACCCCAGUAGUCCCUGUCUCUUAUAC
Molecule: ribosomal RNA, 302 nt
Filed under: uncultured bacterium
Lineage: Bacteria
Description: partial 16S ribosomal RNA
Rfam family: Bacterial small subunit ribosomal RNA
Source: RNAcentral